GACGUAGGGCGCGAGCGUUGUCCGGAUUUAUUGGGCGUAAAGAGCUCGUAGGCGGCUUGUCGCGUCGACUGUGAAAACCCACAGCUCAACUGUGGGCUUGCAGUCGAUACGGGCAGGCUAGAGUUCGGUAGGGGAGACUGGAAUUCCUGGUGUAGCGGUGAAAUGCGCAGAUAUCAGGAGGAACACCGGUGGCGAAGGCGGGUCUCUGGGCCGAUACUGACGCUGAGGAGCGAAAGCGUGGGGAGCGAACAGG
This 253-nucleotide non-coding RNA is filed under the name uncultured bacterium. Its description in RNAcentral is "partial 16S ribosomal RNA". It matches the Rfam family "Bacterial small subunit ribosomal RNA", at positions 524 to 776 of the family's 1533-position model. The record is from RNAcentral. RNAcentral also lists the same sequence under 1 other name.